UUUAACGGCCGCGGUAUCCUAACCGUGCAAAGGUAGCGUAAUCACUUGUCUUCCAAAUAAAGACCAGUAUGAAUGGCUAAAUGAGGACCAUCCUGUCUCCUUUAACUAAUCAGUGAAACUGAUCUACCAGUACAAAAGCUGGUAUAGUAUCAUAAGACGAGAAGACCCCGUGGAGCUUUAAACCACAUACCAAGUAAACUAACAACAUUUAUCACCUUUGGCAGAAGGUUUUAAGUUGGGGCGACUUCGGAACAAAACAAACUUCCGAGCAUAAAGAUAUUAUCUAACCAAGACCCACAAGUCGAAGCAAAACUUGACCCAGCAUUUGCUGACUACCGAACCAAGUUACCCCGGGGAUAACAGCGCCAUCUUCUUCAAGAGUCCAUAUCGACAAGAAGGUUUACGACCUCGAUGUUGGAUCAGGACACCCAAAUGGUGUAACCGCUAUUAAAGGUUC
Molecule: ribosomal RNA, 457 nt
Filed under: Sceloporus smithi
Lineage: Eukaryota; Metazoa; Chordata; Lepidosauria; Squamata; Phrynosomatidae
Description: partial 16S ribosomal RNA
Rfam family: Bacterial large subunit ribosomal RNA
Source: RNAcentral